GUUCGCUGUGGUUCAGAUGUAGAGCGUUCGCCUACCAUGCGUGAGGCACUGGGUUCGAUCCCCAGUACCACA
Molecule: transfer RNA, 72 nt
Filed under: Marmota monax (woodchuck)
Lineage: Eukaryota; Metazoa; Chordata; Mammalia; Rodentia; Sciuridae
Description: tRNA.Gly
Source: RNAcentral